GAGUUUGAUCCUGGCUCAGGACGAACGCUGGCGGCGUGCUUAACACAUGCAAGUCGAACGGUAAGGCUCCAGCUUGCUGGGGUACACGAGUGGCGAACGGGUGAGUAACACGUGGGUGACCUGCCCUGCACUUCGGGGAUAAGCCUGGGAAACUGGGUCUAAUACCGGAUAGGACCGCACCGUGAGGGUGUGGUGGAAAGUUUUUUCGGUGUGGGAUGGGCCCGCGGCCUAUCAGCUUGUUGGUGGGUAAUGGCCUACCAAGGCGGCGACGGUAGCCGGCCUGAGAGGGUGGACGGCCACAUUGGGACUGAGACACGGCCCAGACUCCUACGGGAGGCAGCAGUGGGAAUAUUGCACAAUGGGCGGAAGCCUGAUGCAGCGACGCCGCGU
RNAcentral lists this ribosomal RNA (390 nucleotides) under uncultured microorganism. Its description in RNAcentral is "bacterial SSU rRNA". It matches the Rfam family "Bacterial small subunit ribosomal RNA", at positions 9 to 402 of the family's 1533-position model. The record is from RNAcentral.